UAGGGAAUCUUCGGCAAUGGACGAAAGUCUGACCGAGCAACGCCGCGUGAGUGAAGAAGGUUUUCGGAUCGUAAAGCUCUGUUGGUAGAGAAGAACGUUGGUGAGAGUGGAAAGCUCAUCAAGUGACGGUAACUACCCAGAAAGGGACGGCUAACUACGUGCCAGCAGCCGCGGUAAUACGUAGGUCCCGAGCGUUGUCCGGAUUUAUUGGGCGUAAAGCGAGCGCAGGUGGUUUAUUAAGUCUGGUGUAAAAAGGCAGUGGCUCAACCAUUGUAUGCAUUGGAAACUGGUAGACUUGAGUGCAGGAGAGGAGAGUGGAAUUCCAUGUGUAGCGGUGAAAUGCGUAGAUAUAUGGAGGAACACCGGUGGCGAAAGCGGCUCUCUGGCCUGUAACUGACACUGAGGCUCGAAAGCGUGGGGAGCAAAACAG
Molecule: ribosomal RNA, 430 nt
Filed under: uncultured bacterium
Lineage: Bacteria
Description: partial 16S ribosomal RNA
Rfam family: Bacterial small subunit ribosomal RNA
Source: RNAcentral